GUUGAGUUAUGCCUCAUCCCCAGCGGUUGAUGCGGAUCUACCACAGGCGCAGGUUUCGUCCCAGCCCAUCUUCGAGGCCACUACAUGCUUUGAUGAGGACACCACGGAUGCAUAUACUCAGGCGGCGGACGAGACCACGGUUGCUGACGGCCCG
This is a long non-coding RNA of Nicotiana attenuata, 154 nucleotides long. RefSeq lists it as uncharacterized. The transcript is spliced from 3 exons. The record is from RefSeq and is a predicted model, not a curated record. Lineage: Eukaryota; Viridiplantae; Streptophyta; Magnoliopsida; Solanales; Solanaceae.